GAGAGAUCACGUUUUGGGAAGCUGUUCGGUCUAGAAAUGAACCUGGAAAGAAAAGAGGUGGAUUUUAAAAAAAAUAAACCUGGCAUUCUGGACGCUUCUUGCCAGAGUUUAAAACCGCUUUGAAACCGAUUCGCCUGUCUGAACUGAUUUCAAGAGAGGAUGCACGGGCUGCUGUCGUUUGGUGAAGACAUUUCGGUCCGAGACGCGUGAAGGCAAACCGGUUGCAAAGGCUGAAUUGAGCCGAAAACUGGAUUUAUCUUAUAUCGGUGGAAGAUCUCUGCCUGGUCCUCUAUCCACCCACCCAUCAAAAGAUGCUCUCCGAUCGGCUACAACCUCAAAAGAUUCCUUUCCAAAUAUAAGAUAUAGCUCCUCUCUCUUCCCUUUUUCUUUUCUCUCUCUUCCCUCGUUUACCUACCUUCCUUCCUUCUUUCCUUCCUCCCAACCAAUCUUCCUUCCUUCCUUCCUUCCUUCCUUCCUUCCUUCCUUCCUUCCUUCCUUCCUUCCUUCCUUCCUUCCUUCCUUCCUGUCUCAGCCACGGCCCCGACAUAGUGCCAGCUUGCCGUGUUCCCUUUGCGCGCAACUCGCCGCUGUCUGGUCCCCUGCGCGUGUGAACACACCUCCCCGAGUUCCCUUCAGGGCUGGGCGAGACAAGGCGUGCUUUUCUCCCUUUUCCUUUGUGAGACGCGCGCGGGGCUCUCUUCUCCACGACCUCGGCUCUGUCCCGCGAUCGGAGGCGGACGGAGAGACGCCCGUCGUGGAAGCCACCGAAGCCGCGUCGGAGCUUGGAUGCGUUUGGAAUUCCCCGCUGCGUGGGAAGCGAAUCGAACCCUUUCCUCUUUUAUUUCAGGGGCUAAAGCGGGCGGACUGGCAGGGUUAGGGCUGGCGCUGGCGACGCCCGGGCAGUGGCUCUGUUCGUGCUUUGGAGGGCACGCGGGCAGAGAUCCAAACUUCCUCCGGCGAAGGCGCUCCGUGCGCCCGUCUAGGNGCAAACCGAGAACUGGAGGCGCCGCCGCCGCGAUCUUCCGCUCACCUGCGCGCUUUUCACCUGCGCCCCUGUUCCUUCCGGACGAGGCAGCUUGCCACCCCUCACCCUUCGCAGGGGGAAAGCGCCUCUCCUGAGCCUCCCCGCCCUGCCCUUUUUAUUUCUGUUCGGCUUUUGGGAAACGCCAACGGGGGAACACAAAGCAGGGCGAAGCAUCUCUCCUCCCGACCGAGGGAGAGACGCAAAAGUGUCCUAAACCUUAGGACGUUCCAAGCGCCCAGCGAUGGGCGGGCGCUUUUCGGAGGGGGCGCUGUGAGUCCUGCCUCCCCCCGCCGCCCAAGCCCUGGCGCUCUGCAUCUCCCUCCCCCCCCGCCUCCGCCCCCCCUUCUGGGAGUUGAGGAGGGGUCUGCAAGACUCGCCAAGUCCCUUUCGCGCUAGCAGGUGAUCUUCCCUCUCGCUCCCUCGGUGAGCUCAGGGUGGGCGCAGGAGAGAGAAGCCGCUCUACCCCUUUCUCUCCCCCACCCCGGAAAGCGAAGCCUGCCUCUGAGUUGGCGCCCCCCACCUCCUCUAAAGAGAGAGCGCCCCCCCCUCUUCUCUCUCUCUCCAGCCUUGGCUGCUUUCUGCUCGCCCAAGUCUCCUUUGCCACGUCAGGGGAGGGGAGGUCAUUAAUAACCAAUUAGAGAGGUCACUGGAGCGCAUAUAUAGGCGACUCAAGAUUUGGCCAGGGGACUCAGCAGUCGGGGCGCCCGCGUGCAGCUCUCCCGGUCCCUCCUUCCUUCCUUCCUUCCCUCCCUCGCACGCGGGGACCCCCAGGUCUCGGACCCAGCCGCCCCCCACCCUUGCCCCCCACCCCUCGAGCUCCGGCCCGCGUUCCCCGCCGCCGCCC
RNAcentral lists this long non-coding RNA (1868 nucleotides) under Salvator merianae (Argentine black and white tegu). Its description in RNAcentral is "lncRNA (ENSSMRG00000005369.1)". The record is from RNAcentral. Lineage: Eukaryota; Metazoa; Chordata; Lepidosauria; Squamata; Teiidae.